AUUGAACGCUGGCGGAAUGCUUUACACAUGCAAGUCGAACGGCAGCACGGACUUCGGUCUGGUGGCGAGUGGCGAACGGGUGAGUAAUGUAUCGGAACGUGCCCAGUCGUGGGGGAUAACGUAGUGAAAAUUACGCUAAUACCGCAUACGAGCUAUUGAUGAAAGCGGGGGAUCGCAAGACCUUGCGCGAGUGGAGCCGCCGAUAACAGAUUAGGUAGUUGGUGGGGUAAAGGCCCACCAAGCCAACGAUCUGUAGCUGGUCUGAGAGGACGACCAGCCACACUGGAACUGAGACACGGUCCAGACUCCUACGGGAGGCAGCAGUGGGGAAUUUUGGACAAUGGGCGAAAGCCUGAUCCAGCCAUUCCGCGUGCAGGAUGAAGGCCCUCGGGUUGUAAACUGCUUUUGUACAGAACGAAAAGGUUUCUACUAAUACUAGGAGCUCAUGACGGUACUGUAAGAAUAAGCACCGGCUAACUACGUGCCAGCAGCCGCGGUAA
This 500-nucleotide ribosomal RNA is filed under the name uncultured bacterium. RNAcentral's name for it is "partial 16S ribosomal RNA". It matches the Rfam family "Bacterial small subunit ribosomal RNA", at positions 30 to 523 of the family's 1533-position model. The record is from RNAcentral.